AUGUAAAGUUGCCCUCUUUAUUUCUGAUGUUCUAUUGAUCUUGCUUCUGUAGGCAUACGUUUUGGUAACUGUGCUGCGUUCACGCGUACUUUCAUGAAUUGCAACAUAAUACUGGAGCUGAUUAAUAAAUGGUAGCAAUAGGACUCCUGUGGCAUCAGGAUUUUAAGUGUCUAUCAAACCGACGUUCUCACUACAUUAUGCCACUAUUAUAUUCUCUGCAGCUUUAAAAGAACUGUAGAUAAUUCUUCAAGAUAUCAAAACAUUUAGCUUAUAGUUCUAUUGCUGUGGUUGUCACCUUCACUUUAUAUCAAAUUUGAGACUCAUUUCUUAAGGAUGUCUCUAUUUUCUGCUUUAUUUGCACGUUGAUAGCUCUACUGAAUGACUAGUCACAGCAACUUUUUCCUCCUAUUGAAGCAUACUAAAAUGCGAAAGCCUAAGACUAAUCUGCUUCACAGGACUUUUCAGCUCUUUGGUUAAAGGGAAAUAAGAAGUUUGCUUCAAGACUCUUGUUUAUGUAGUUUCCUCAGUUUGGUUAACAAAUGUGGGGCUUGAGGAUACAUUUACUGCUUCUCUGCAUUUUUACUGAAGGUGUGUGCAUUGGAAGGUAUGCAUAAGUUCUUGAUAUCAGGUGUUUGUCUGCUUUGCAGCUGCCGGUGAAAAGAUAUGAGUGCAUGUUGAUAUUAAAAUUCUGUACUUUAUUGUUUUCACAAUUUCUAGGAAGCUAAACCAUUAAUUUAAUGGAAGAAACAUUUACUAUUCAGUUCUUAUUUAAUGAUGGGUAGGACUUACAGGCUGGCUCUGCGCUCAUCGCUUUAUUUAAAUUAAGGCUUGUGAAUUUAAAUUCAGCUUGUAGAAAUAAAUAAUUAAAGUAACUGUUUUUAUAGCCUUCAGUCUGAUGGGCUGGUCCUGCAAAGCUAUUUAUAAUGGUCUUUGCUUACUUAAGUAGUCAGACUCCAGCAGGGUUUUUGACAUGAGGGGAACUUGGAUUUGAGAUGACUGCACAAAAUGUGGUGACCCAAAAUGUAGCAAUAUUUGUACUUGCAUAUUUAUUUUUCUACACUGGUUUCAUUUGCAUAAUUUCAUUUAGGGUGUGCAAACAUAUGUGGUACAGCAUAAAAAUAACUUAAUAAAUUAGUGCAUGAACUAAUAUAAUGGGGUUCAGCUGUGAAUAUUUUAUUUCCAGGAGGGGCAAGAAGAGGCAGGGUGAUCUUGAAAGUAAUAGCAAGCUGUAUUGUAAAAGUGCAGCUGUUGGUAAGCUCUAACUAUAAGUGGUUUGGCUGCAGGUAGCUUGUAGUGGAUAGAGUUAAACUUGGGUGUCUUGUAUAUGAUACACAUUAAUUUAAUUACUUUAAUAGCUACUUUCUGUUGAAACUUUAAAAUCUAACGAUCCUGCUUUUAUUGCAGUCUUUAAAGAUCUAAUCGUUCUUGUGUGUGUCUGAGAUGUAAAACUUAGUGCAAGAAGAGGCAACAGAUUGGUUCCGUCAUACGAUUUUGUUGGGUUUUUUUUGAGGGUACUUAAAAGAUUAUGAUGGAUAAUGCUGUCUUGUCAAAGAAUGCCGACACAGGUGUUCAUCAUUAUCUUAAUUAAGAUCCUGAGAAAAUGUCAUCUUUCUACAUGAAUUAUGAAGGGAGAUGCAUUAGGAGAUCAUUUCAACUUUUUUUUUUUCUUUUUACAGGGGUAGAUGAGAAGGAGGCUGUUUUCUCAAAACCUUUUUGAUAUUUCCUUAUCAAAAUGCCCAACCGUAGACACUCGCUGAAUAAUUUGUUUCUCUACUUCAAUUUGCGAAUAUAUUACCAAGAGAUCUGUAUGUGAUGUUAAAGGGAAUCCUUCAACAACAAAAAAAAUCCCCCUUCCAGAUACUCUCUUCUGCUUAAAGCUGACCCUAUAAACAAAAUACUAGGACUCGGAUGGUAGUGGACAUUGCUGCUGGACACAUCUGCUAAGAGGUGUUUUAUACAGUGUUUAUUUAAAAGUAUUUUGCUCUGUUAUUAGCAUGAGUUGCUAAUACAUGUAUGUGAAUAUUUAUAAUUUUAAGCAUGAAGAUAAAAAAAUUUCUCACCUUUGCACUACCAUGGAAGUGAAACUAACCAGUGUACAAAGAGGAAGGAGGGGCUUGUGUUUUUCUGUGUUAAAUCAAUACAUUAUUAGCUGAACAAGAGCUAAAACAGUGCAUCUAAAAGAUUGGCUGAAGCAUCAGCAGUAAAACUUAGGGGCUCCUUCGUGCAGAUCCUUGUGUCUGUGUUGCUGCUGGCUUCCCUCGGAUGAAGUGCUGGGAGUUACAAGGUCAGUUCGUGCAGUGGAAGUGCUGGUGUUUGGUGGCUCUUAGCCUAGGGAGGACCUUACCUCUCCCGGCUUCUGUAGGCAUGAGGUUCCAUAAAAAUGCCUCUUGGGAAGAGGACAGCUCUGUCAAGCCUAGGUUUCAAAAGGUAUUUUUAAGUUCUCCAUUUGUCUGUUUUUUGCCUUUAUAUAAUGCACCCAAGAGCAGAAGCAGUGAGGUCCAUGAUGGGGAAAAUUAAUCCAGUAGUCCCAUCUUAUCCUGUACUCACCUAAACACAGGAAGAGAGCUCACACAAAGCCAGAAUGUGUCUGGGCUUGCAGCUCUUUUUAACCAUAUUAAGUUCUAUUCGGAGCUGAUGAGGAGCUCAGUGAGACUGGUCCAAGCAAUGCUGAAGAAAGGAAGAACAGAGUUGGAAGGCAGGAGCUAUUUCAGAGUGGGAUUCUUCUUUCUGUACACCCAAAUAUGAAGACUUUAUAAGCAUCAUUAGGUCCUGCCAUCAAUGACUGAGCAUCCCUGAAAUCUUCUUAUCAGUUACUGUCGAGAUGAGAAGGAUAACAGGAAGGAGGAGUGCUUAAGUGGUUUUAAUGACAGUUAAUUUCAUCUAUUUAUCAAAUGACAGGUUUUUUCUUUCUCAAAACUCUAGUGUCAUGACAAGAUGCUUUUGGAAGUCAUCUUUGUAAAAUAAAACUGACAAUUCUUAGGCUACAAAGAGCUAUUGUAUCUUUCUAUACAAUGUUGUCAUUCUGGUAAACCGCUGGAAAGUCUUUAUUUUUGAAAUAACUUAACUUGCAUGCUUCAUUCAUUUAUUUGAAUGUCUGUUGAAUGCCAUGUGAAAAGUUUCUUGCCAGAGUUCUCUUAUUCAAUGGAAUAGUUAUUCUUACAAUGCUCAGUUUAUUAUUGUCUGAAUUGCUGUUGCCUUAGCCUCCUGCAAAGAUGUUUCUUUUUACUAAUUCUUAAACAAAUAAGGAAUGAAUGAGGUUUUGUUCCUUUCGUGUUUUGAUCGGCAUAUCGUUCCUUUUGGAACUGAAAGCACCUUCAGUUUUCAGAAUGACACUAUUACAAAGAAAGGUGCUUUGCUUUUUUCUUUUUUUUUUUCCCUCCCAACAGAAAAUGUCUUUUGUGCAAUGAUUUUUUUAAUAUGUACACUGUCAAGACACAAUUACUGGAAGGAGAGACAGAAGCUGUUGGGAAUGUCAUGUUAUGCCAAAUUAAGAAUUAUUAGCUCUUACUUUCUCUGCAAUCUCUUCAAUUAGAACUUGACCUAUUGCGUCUGGCUUAUACUUUGACUUUAGUGGAACUAAUGUGUCCUUGGAGUAGAAUUUUAGAGUAACUUAAGAUUCAUGGUUUUUUUUUGUGUGUGCCCCCCCAUCUCUGCUUUAAACUGCUGGCAUUAACUUCAGAGAAGGCAAGAGAUACAGCCUCCUUUGUCAGCAGCUGUGCUAGUUAAAGAAGGCAGCUUCAUGUACGCUUGCUUGCACACUCACUCGUGGAGGUUAUUGUCCUGAUAGGGAAGCAAACUGAGCAGUUUCCCUGAGCACAGCCAGACUUAUUUCAGCUAAAGUUAGUUGUGUUAUCAAAUAUUAGUUAACUAGCAUCCUGGGUCAUUUUGAUGAAAGGGCAGGGAAUGCACAGACGGUGUAUCGGGGAAGGUGGUGCAUUGACAGGAGGGUUGUUGAGGAGCUGCUGGUGGGGUAGUGUUUUCAGCAGGUGCAGUUACAUCUCUAAGAUGUGGUAAAAAUUAGAUGUGUUAGAAAGCUGUGCAGUUCUGUCAUGUAUAAUAUUCACAUUUUGGGGACAUACUGAAUAAUAUAAAAUAAAACUGGGCUCUUUGAUUUAUUCCUUUUGUGUGUCAGUGUGAGUGGAGAGACAUGAUGUGAGUUUGUGUAGGUGAUAGGACACCUGUUUCAGAAAAAUGUAUCUGGUCAAGGUGUGUGAAUGGUACAAAUGAGUUGUGCUUUACUCAUCAAAGACAGUGCCUCAACCACCACAUGCCUCUGGAGAACUGUUUUUGAUACAUGGUGCCCUAAGCUGCCUUUAGCGAAGAGGGCAGAACACCUCCAGCAGAAGAGGCUGCCCCAUCCAUUGCUGCUUCUCUGGCCAAUGUUGCCUCAGUCGAUGCUGGAGUCCAAUGAGGCAUCCAAGCUCUUGAUGUUCCCCGUGCCAAAAUCAGAAUGGUGUGGAUGAUGUCUAGCACUGGAAGGCAUAAUGAGUAAAACCAGUGCACUAAACAGCUCCUUCAACGCUGACCCUUCUUGAGAGAAGGCUGUGGAGUGUAGGUGCUGUCCCACAGAUGGCUUGGGCGCACAAAGAACAAGAGGCUUUCUGAUCUGUCAGACACCUGAGAGCAGCAACUCGGUUUGUGUCCCCUCUUGGGGCACUGCUAGAUGAAAGGAACUUGGUUCAGUCACAGAAAGGACUGAACCUCCAGCUCAGCUGGUGUUGCAUCCAAUAUCUCUUAACUGUUCCUAACCUAAAGAAAGAGGAAGUAUGCACUGGCCUCUUAUGUCGCAUGUGUAAGGGAGGAAAUUAAUGUACUACGUCUGGAAAGGAACUGGUGUGUAAGGGGAAGGAGCUGCUUUGCAGGCAAAGAACCGCCGGCCCUGGCUGUUUUAUCCUCAGAAGCACUACUGUAUCACAGUGCAUUCAGACUGGAGCCUGCAUCUGCUGUUCCCUGAACUGUGGAUCUGAAAAAUAGUGAUGUGAAGAGAUGAGGCAUGGCAUGUCUUAGGGUGGAGGCCUAUAAAGAGAUUUGGGAAUGUGCACCAACUUAGAAGUGGCUAAUAUUUUAAAAUUAUAUAUAAAAAAGAAGUAGAUGUGAUAUGACAGAGGGUGAAGCCUAUUGCUUUUCUGCCAAGUUAUGAGUUAACUUGGCCAUGUACUGCUGUAUGUUGAGAAAAUUUUGGACUCUUCAGUUAAGCUCUUUCUUAGCCGUUAGUCUGUGCUUGCAGUGUAGUGGUUGGUGCGUGCAUAGUUCAAGGAGGCAAAGCGCCAGCCUCAUAGUUUCCAAAAUCCUCAACUUGCCCCUGAUCCGAUCUCUGCAGCUCUGUGGUGAAGGUGGGUGCGUCUCUAGCUGUGAGAACUGUGCCAUCAGCCCGGGGUCAAGCCGCAGCUGAGCUCUUGGCAUCUGUGCUGAGUUCAGAAGUGAUGUACCUCCUCCAAAGGAGGUCUUACAGAUGUCUCCCCUGACCACGAACUAAGGGGAAAUGAGCCUCCACAGCUCUUUGAGACAGCCCAUAAUUCAUAUAAUUCUUUUCUCUUAAUAUGGACUAUUGUAGUACCAAAGUUAAAAUAUUUAAUGAAAUGCUUGUGAUUGCCUAAUAGUCUUUCCCCCUACUUAAGUGGUAAUACGUAGUUAAACCAGUAUUGCAAAAUAACAUCUUAUGUAGAGCACUGCCGUGGAUGUAUUAUGCCGAUGAGUAAAAUUUUACGUCCAAACACUUAAAAUGAUCAAAUACUAUAGUUAAGACUGUCAUACUAUUUAUGCAGCGCUAAAAAGAAAACAAAAUACAAUACAGAUUUUUUUUUCCUAUAAAUACUCUAAAUAAUAGGUUGGUUUCAACUAGACUUCCUGGCUCUUUGGUGAUUGCUGCACUCGGUAUGAAUCUACCAGGAUCCUGCACAUAAUCAUGUGUUUAUUACUAUAUACACAUAAUUUCUAUGUUCUCCACAAAUAUGUUGGACAAAACAUAGUUUACCUUUUUAUAUGGUACUAUAUGGUUACUUUCUAACUCCUUUAACUUCAGUUCAAACUUGGUUGAAUAAAAUGUGCAUUCCUGAAAAUAAUCAUUGCAUCUGUAAUGGGAUAGUUGAUUUCAUAUGGCUGUUUUCAUACUCCAGACAUAACAAAACAUUUUCAAGGCAAUACGUGUUGACAAUAGACAGCGAUAAAAAUCAGUUAAUGACAAAUUCUAAGGUGCAAACUUUUAAUAAGAGCAAUGAAUCAUUAGGAAUGAUUAGAAAGGGAAUAGUAGAUCUUCUAUCUUUUGAAUGAAGAUGAAAUGUUUUUAUAGAGGUAUAUGCUUGAACAACUGGCUGGGUGGGGUAGAGAAAUUCUUCACAGGCUUCUGUGGCUUUUGCUACAUCUGGGGUCAGACUGGGUCAUCUUUUGCCUUGGAAAGGAGGAAGGCAUCUCGGUGUAACAAAUAUCUUCACAGCAUAGCAGCUUCCACUGAAAAGUUACUCAAAGUUGCUUACGGUUCUUUUUAAAAAAGGAUCGGGGAGGAGGGGCAUUGGUUAACAACUAGUUUGGCAAGGUUCCUGGCUUGUAAUGCUGUGCCUUUUUCAAAGAAACUCCUUCACCUGACUGCUUGGUUCCGCAGAGUGUUAUGUUUCAUUGGCUUUAGGUGAGGUGGGUUUCUUUCAUUCAUCCAUCCUCCCCUCCUUCCCACCCCCCCGCCCCAAAUAAUCAAACACCACAUCAACUUUUUUAUUUCAGAGCAAAUGUCUUCUACAAAGUGUAAUUUUGCCUUGCUGCUAGAAAUAAUUUUUAGGUUUAAAAUAAUCUGACAGCAUCCUGCUCUGUAUAAAUUAGGUUUGUUCUCUACUAAGGUUAGUUAGCUGGCACCCAUUUGCUAGCAUGUUACAAAAAAAAAACCACCCAAAACCAGUUGCAAGUUGAUCGCAUCUGGUUAUCUGCCUUUUCUCUUUUUAAUGGGCUUUUUGUUGCUGUGCUGUCACCAAAGCUGAAGUACAUGUGUGCAAGUUGUACGUCUCCAGGUUCUCUACAGCCCGGGGAGAUGACGUUGGCUUUCCUGUACCAUGGAAAGACUUGGGGGCAUAAGCGUUUGGAGAAGUGGUGAGGUUGUCUGCACCUAGAUUUCUGAAUCUUAUGCACUUUUGGUUUUGGCUAACGGUGAUAUUUUCUGCUCUAUGGCAAGCAAUAUGUUACCACUGAAGUCCAAAAUGCCAGGUAUAAUUAGCUCAUGUGUUUAAAUAGGUGUUAUUUUGUAACUUGUAUGUACUAGCCUGUUUUCAUGCCUAAGUAUGUAUUUUACCUGGGAAGAAUGCUGUGUGAAUCAGAAAAAAACAGAAAAAUGAUUUAAUGUUUUGUGCUAGUGUUUAAGAUUUUAAAAACAACCUUGAGGUCUUUAUUUCUUUGUUUACAAUUGAUUAGGGUUAGAAUUUUGAAAGCUUAAUGCCGACUAGAAGUGCUUUACAGUCAGUCACUGAGAAUUACGGGCUUGGCACGACUCACGUUUUUGUCCUUCAGUAUAUCCGUUAUUGUUAGAGGCUAAGUAGUCUGCACAUAGAUGACUGAUUUUUUUGGGAGUAUUUUACGUUUUUACAUGUUCAGAAAAAUACUUCGUUAAAGCAGCUGCUGGCUGAAUGGGGUGAUUAAAUAACUGUACUGCUUUUAUUGAAGUUGACACAUGCUGCCCAUUCCUUAAAAAUCAGUAUGUGAGCAGAAUAUUUCCAGGAUUUAUUGAAGCCAGACACCUAGAGAUAGCGGGGAGCUUUCCAUAGCAGUAAAGAUAACUUCAAGUUUUACACUGUUAUAACAAAUCUGUCUUUAAGAAGAGAUCUAUUAUUGUAAUACAUUGCUUGUGUUCUUCAUAUUUUGUACAUACGUAUGUUCUAUGUGUGCACACACACACCUACGCACAAAUGCUUAAGACUUGAGCACUUUUAUUUGACAGUGAUUGUAUAUUCUAUUUAGUCUUUAUUUGGAAAAAAAUAGUGUUGUAAUACUGAUCAAGAAUCCCAAUUUGCUUAGUGCCAAAAGAAAUCUGGGGUUUAAUUGAUUUUUUAUUUUUUUUUUUAACUGAGAUGCAGUCCUGCUUAGUUUGAAUUGCAGCUCUUAAUCUGUGAGUGUCUUGGAGUAGCAAGUAAGGAAUCUUACUAAAUGUAAACUGAGGCUUGCUUUCCUUUUAACUAGUAUGAUGAGUGCAAUGUUCCGCAUGUGUAAUGCUUUGCAAGUUGUGAAAAAGUCAACUUGUAAUUACAACACGUGGCGACCAAACAUGUUAUAAACAAAUGUCCUCAGAAAGUCUAUUGAACAGAUAUAAUUACCAAUAUUGUAAAUUUUAGUGAUAUGAUCUUUUUCUAUUCCUUUCCUUUCUUUUUCAAGUGCAUUGGAACAAUUUUUUGUCCGUUUGAGCAUGUUCAGUUAGUCUGCCUUUCCUGUUAACUGUUCACAUCUUUAAAGCAUCUUUGAUAUGUCUCUUUUAAAGUUAUAAUUAUUCAUUUCAGGCAGAGUUUACAAACAUGCAAGUUUCAAGAUCAGAACAUUUUGUAACUUCACCUUACUGUAUUUUGUUUACAUGGUCUAUGAUGUGGAGAACUCUGCCAAGUACACUCCGCUUCCAUGAGUUUUGAUGGGAACCUAGUGCUCCAAGAUGCACACAGCGGUAUCGGUGGCCGUGCUUGGUAUAGAUACAGGCACAAAGUGCUUUCCUGAAAGAGGGGGUCAGUCUUAGAAAAUAUCGGAGGGACAGGUUCUUCUUUUGAGUGACCCCAGAGCCUGACUGACACUGUCAGAAACAGCCCCACCUCAUUCAAACCCAAGUGGUGCCAAGUGCACAGAGGUUGAGCAGGUUCAUGGCCCUGCAGUGAGCAAUGGUGGCAGUGGUGCCCAGAGGCAGGCAGAGGAUGAGCGGGGUGCUGCAGGAACCAGGCAAGGUACCAGAAAUCUGCUGUUUCUUCUUUUGUGAAUGCUUCCAGAUUACAGUGCUGCCAUUUCCAUUACCCUGCUAAAAGAGAAAGCCUCAUUGCAGUAGCACAGUGGGUGGAGAUGCCUUUUCUGGAAUCUUUUUAAAUAGCAAUAAUUAAGUCACAAGCAACUGUGACUUGGAAAGCCUGUGGUACCAGUGUACGGUAGUAAGAGGUUUUUGCUUCCUGAAAUCCUCUGACAGUGUUAAAGUCUUAGUAGUGCGCUCUGGACUGGCUGCUUAUCUAUCAUGGAUAUUUUGUAUGAUUUCAGAGUAGAACGUUGCCCUUACUGUUGAAUUAUUUGGCUAAAGCCAUCAAACUUUCACCGGCAUAUUUUGGGAUGUUUAAACCUCAAACACUUUUCAUGCAACGUCUGACUUACUAUUAUUGCACACUAUAAAAUAAAAUGCACUAUCAAAAUACAUGCUGAAAACUUUAUUCAUCAGCUACUAAUAAAAAUGUGGAAAAAGUAUUUUCAAGAUUUGGGGUUUUUUUUCCAAUUCAUCCCCAUUGAUUUUGCAUUAUUUUUAAUGUGGGACAUGGAAAAAAAGAGGUUAGUUCCCCUUGCCAGAAUACAUAAGGUGCUGUUGUGUAUCGGUGUUCUAAACUUCUAGGACUGUAUAAACAGAAAAUUUACUUUUUAAUUUUAUUGUCAUGCUGGGUAUGCAGCAGAAGUUAGUUUUUUGCCUGGACGUCUGUGUGAGCAGGCUAGGUAUUUUUAACUGUCCAUGUAUUCCAACAAACUCAUUUUAGGGGCAGAUCUUUUCAUGCUGCGUUCUGCAAGUUGAAGACAAAAAAUUGGUUUCUAAACUACUUGCAUGUUUUAAUAUUGUGAGUCAAUUCCCAUGUGUUAAAGUGUAAACUACUAACUAAUCCAUAGGAGUUUAUGCAGGAGAAAGUCAUUUAAUUAACACUUUUAAUUUCAGCUGGGAAAGAAGGUGAAACUGAGGUCUGAAGAAUGGAGGAGGCUUUGUUUUUCAUCGCCGAAGACUCACCCCACUGUAAGUCUGCUGAUGUACAGGGACCAUCUCCUGCUAAUUAGGCCUCUCCGAUGCGCUCUCUAGAAACGCGCUGGAGAAGUUUUUUCAAAAAACCACCACGCCGUCAUAAAUAAGGAAACGGUAUCGUAUGUAACUAUUACAUGUCGCUCGUUUGGCAGACUAUAAUUUAAUAGAACAACAACGAUCAGACUAGUAUAUCAGUUAAUUUUCAAAACAUUUUAUUCCACACAAAUUAUCUCAGGUCCUGGAGGGCAAAAUGACAAGAGGUUACUCGUACACUAUGUAUUUAAUUAAUUGAAAAAUGCUCAAAUUGCUUUUACAGUUGUUAUUAAAAAGUAGAAUCAGUGUUGCCAGUGCUCAACCAUAAUUAGAACCCCAGGGAAUUAAAUAUUUAGCAUUAGUAAUGUAACAGCACUUAGGACACAAAUUUCUAUUUUUGUAAUGAAAGCAAUACAGUGUAAGUGCAAAUGGCUGAAACGACAGCUGUGACAAGCGAACCAGCCUGGGAUAUUUCAAUAAGACACCUCGUCGGACAGCAAGCUUACCACAUUACUCGUUUGUAAGAGAUCUGCAAGUUUAAAUCCCAAUAGCCGGGCAUUACACCCGGUAUUUAGAUUUCUAAUUGCUCACAGGUUGAAUGGUCGGGCAAAUGUCACGCUGUCAAGUGGGGGAAGCGUGCGGUGUUUUCCCAAAUAACGCCGCAGAGGUGCGUGCCUUUGUCCGCAUGGGCAGGGGCUGGGGGGCAGGUCCCAGGGUUGCAGAGGGAGGAAAAGAGAUCUUGUUUGUUUUAAGUUUAAUUACAUUUUAAGCAUAAGUGCUUUCAGUGAUACAACAUGAAAAGUUGGAUAUUGGGCUCUAAUGAGCUGUAGUGGUAGAUGGCUGGAGACCCUGAGGGAUUCAUUCACUAAAUUAACGGGAUAAAAGUACUUGGUUUGGGCAUGGUAGGAUGGCUGAGCUCUGCUCAAAAACUCCCUUUCAGAACUGUCUCUCAUUCCUGUUUUCGUUCUAAACAGGCCGUGUAGUGACUUCCACAGCCGUCUGCUACAACUGUUCAGCUUGUCAGAAGGUAUUACAUUACCACCUAAUAAGUAAUAAAGCGUAUUUGACUUCA
Phalacrocorax carbo (great cormorant) is the source of this 11039-nucleotide non-coding RNA. Lineage: Eukaryota; Metazoa; Chordata; Aves; Suliformes; Phalacrocoracidae. The record is from RefSeq and is a predicted model, not a curated record.